Molecule: ribosomal RNA, 748 nt
Filed under: uncultured bacterium
Lineage: Bacteria
Description: bacterial SSU rRNA
Rfam family: Bacterial small subunit ribosomal RNA
Source: RNAcentral
GAGUUUGAUCCUGGCUCAGGAUAAACGCUGGCGGCGUGCUUAACACAUGCAAGUCGAACGGGGGUGCCAUGAACGAAGCAUCAGUUUACUGAUAUGGAGGGAAUGGGACCCUAGUGGCGGACGGGUGAGUAACGCGUGGGUAACCUGCCCCAUACCGGGGGAUAACACUUAGAAAUAGGUGCUAAUACCGCAUAAGCGCACGGUACUGCAUGGUACAGUGUGAAAAACUCCGGUGGUAUAAGAUGGACCCGCGUCUGAUUAGCUUGUUGGCGGGGUAACGGCCCACCAAGGCGACGAUCAGUAGCCGGCCCGAGAGGGUGGACGGCCACAUUGGGACUGAGACACGGCCCAAACUCCUACGGGAGGCAGCAGUGGGGAAUAUUGCACAAUGGGGGAAACCCUGAUGCAGCGACGCCGCGUGAGUGAAGAAGUAUUUCGGUAUGUAAAGCUCUGUCAGCAGGGAAGAAAAUGACGGUACCUGACCAAGAAGCCCCGGCUAACUACGUGCCAGCAGCCGCGGUAAUACGUAGGGGGCAAGCGUUAUCCGGAUUUACUGGGUGUAAGGGAGCGCAGACGGCAAUGCAAGCCUGGAGUGAAAGGCGGGGGCCCAACCCCCGGACUGCUCUGGGAACUGUAUAGCUAGAGUGCAGGAGAGGCAAGUGGAAUUCCUAGUGUAGCGGUGAAAUGCGUAGAUAUUAGGAGGAACACCAGUGGCGAAGGCGGCUUACUGGACUGUAACUGACGUUGA